GGGCCACAAUGCAGCACUGGUGAAGGCAAAGGGAACGUCAAGGGAACCCCUGGUUCCAGCCGACUGAGCUUAAUCCGCGCAGGAGGCUUGGUCCCGAACUACAUUCUGAGUUCAAAGGGAUCAGGAAAUGUAAUCAGAUUGUUAAUAUAAAUCAUUUUAAUAGAAGAGAGUGUUAUGCCUUCAUUUAAGAAAACAAAUCAACCCAGUUAGUGAGUGCGUGCGUCCUGGGCUCUCAAGGACAACGUCUAACUCAUCAGGAGCAGAAGCAAAACACAGUCCCUGCUCUCAGAUGCUUCCGUGAUUACUGCAAAGCUAAACUCACAUGGAUGAAAGCACUAGUAGCCGAAGCGUCAGGAGCUACAGUGAGCCAGAGAACAGUCCUUUCUUUGUCCUGACACGACCCACUGAGGUGGGAAGCACCCUGAGAGCCGCGCCGGAAGAAGGAAACCAUGCUACAGGCCAACCAAUAGUCAUGGUCAUGGUCAACGGAGUCAAAAGCUUUAUCUUGAGUUGGGCAGUUUUUUUCCUAAUGAGACUGGAAUGUGGCACUAACCUCCAAGAAGCAUGAUGUCAAAUAGACGCGGAGGCCGGGGCAUCUCAGCUCUAAUGCUGCCCACUGACCCUUUGGAGAAGUCCAGAGCCACUUCUCACCCUUCUGUGUAUGCUUUGGCGUUGGGUUACACAAGGGACGUGGAGAAGCAUGCACAUUGCCAGCCCUGAUCCCACUCCCACCGGAUUUCUCGGAGCCACGGCUGCAGGUUCACUGCCCCGAUAUCACAGCUUCUCACCAAAGUAUACUGGGUGUUUUCCUGUAUAUAUCUAUUCUUCACAAUAACUCACUGACGUUGGUUUUAUGGCUUAACUUCACUGAGAAGUGAUGGUGGAAUGGAAAGAGGACAGUUCCUUUGAGUCCAGCAGAUGUGGACUUAAAUCCACAUCCCAACCACAUCUUAGCCCCGUAAACAGGCAUGCUGACGCAGAGCUGAGUGUGACAGCGACGAUCCAAAUCCUAGAAACCAGCAGACUCAGUGGCGUCUAAAGCGUUUGCAAACAUGUUCCAGCAGAGUGGAUCUAUUGAAAGUUCAGAUGUUGGUGGCUAAUACUUUUCUUUUUUAAAGUCCUUACAGAAUUGACUGACAAAGUCCAUUGAAAACUGAACAAAGUAAGAAAAAUUGCCCAAUCGUGUUGGACUACAAAUUAAAAAAAGUAUUUUAAAUGACACCUUCUCCCUGACUGGGACAUGGUGGCUUAUCAAACAAAGGCUGCAGAUGUGCACUCUGCUUGGCAGGAGGGGCAGGUGUCUCGUGGGGGUCCUCUCCACCCAGGUCUCUUUCAUAGGUGGUGAAAUGCAAGGCAGACAUGAAGUCGGAGGGAACAGGGGAAAGAAGGGUCUUUGAGCCAUUCUCUGGUGCAAUUUGUACCAUGGAAAUUUAGUUUUGAUUUUUUCCAUAUGAAUCAUGAAAAACAUGAAACAUGCAGGGGGUUUAUCAUAAUUCGCAAUGAGA
RNAcentral lists this long non-coding RNA (1505 nucleotides) under Vulpes vulpes (red fox). RNAcentral describes it as "lncRNA (ENSVVUG00000000926.1)". The record is from RNAcentral. Lineage: Eukaryota; Metazoa; Chordata; Mammalia; Carnivora; Canidae.